Molecule: ribosomal RNA, 254 nt
Filed under: uncultured bacterium
Lineage: Bacteria
Description: partial 16S ribosomal RNA
Rfam family: Bacterial small subunit ribosomal RNA
Source: RNAcentral
CACGUAGGGUGCGAGCGUUGUCCGGAAUUAUUGGGCGUAAAGAGCUCGUAGGCGGUGUGUCGCGUCGGCCGUGAAAACCUGCAGCUUAACUGUGGGCUUGCGGUCGAUACGGGCAUCACUGGAGUUCGGCAGGGGAGACUGGAAUUCCUGGUGUAGCGGUGAAAUGCGCAGAUAUCAGGAGGAACACCGGUGGCGAAGGCGGGUCUCUGGGCCGAAACUGACGCUGAGGAGCGAAAACGUGGGGAGCAAACAGG